This 589-nucleotide ribosomal RNA is filed under the name Staphylococcus aureus. RNAcentral's name for it is "bacterial SSU rRNA". It matches the Rfam family "Bacterial small subunit ribosomal RNA", at positions 69 to 641 of the family's 1533-position model. The record is from RNAcentral. Lineage: Bacteria; Bacillati; Bacillota; Bacilli; Caryophanales; Staphylococcaceae.
ACGGACGAGAAGCUUGCUUCUCUGAUGUUAGCGGCGGACGGGUGAGUAACACGUGGAUAACCUACCUAUAAGACUGGGAUAACUUCGGGAAACCGGAGCUAAUACCGGAUAAUAUUUUGAACCGCAUGGUUCAAAAGUGAAAGACGGUCUUGCUGUCACUUAUAGAUGGAUCCGCGCUGCAUUAGCUAGUUGGUAAGGUAACGGCUUACCAAGGCAACGAUGCAUAGCCGACCUGAGAGGGUGAUCGGCCACACUGGAACUGAGACACGGUCCAGACUCCUACGGGAGGCAGCAGUAGGGAAUCUUCCGCAAUGGGCGAAAGCCUGACGGAGCAACGCCGCGUGAGUGAUGAAGGUCUUCGGAUCGUAAAACUCUGUUAUUAGGGAAGAACAUAUGUGUAAGUAACUGUGCACAUCUUGACGGUACCUAAUCAGAAAGCCACGGCUAACUACGUGCCAGCAGCCGCGGUAAUACGUAGGUGGCAAGCGUUAUCCGGAAUUAUUGGGCGUAAAGCGCGCGUAGGCGGUUUUUUAAGUCUGAUGUGAAAGCCCACGGCUCAACCGUGGAGGGUCAUUGGAAACUGGAAAAC